This 495-nucleotide ribosomal RNA is filed under the name uncultured bacterium. RNAcentral describes it as "partial 16S ribosomal RNA". It matches the Rfam family "Bacterial small subunit ribosomal RNA", at positions 28 to 505 of the family's 1533-position model. The record is from RNAcentral.
GAUGAACGCUGGCGGCGUGCCUAAUACAUGCAAGUCGAGCGAACGGACGAGAAGCUUGCUUUUCUGAUGUUAGCGGCGGACGGGUGAGUAACACGUGGAUAACCUACCUAUAAGACUGGGAUAACUUCGGGAAGCCGGAGCUAAUACCGGAUAAUAUUUUGAACCGCAUGGUUCAAAAGUGAAAGACGGUCUUGCUGUCACUUAUAGAUGGAUCCGCGCUGCAUUAGCUAGUUGGUAAGGUAACGGCUUACCAAGGCAACGAUGCAUAGCCGACCUGAGAGGGGGAUCGGCCAAACGGGAACUGAGACACGGUCAAGACUCCGACGGGAGGAAGCAGUAGGGAAUCUUCCGCAAUGGGCGAAAGCCUGACGGAGCAACGCCGCGUGAGUGAUGAAGGUCUUCGGAUCGUAAAACUCUGUUAUUAGGGAAGAACAUAUGUGUAAGUAACUGUGAACAUCUUGACGGUACCUAAUCAGAAAGCCACGGCUAACUACG